This 253-nucleotide ribosomal RNA is filed under the name uncultured bacterium. Its description in RNAcentral is "partial 16S ribosomal RNA". It matches the Rfam family "Bacterial small subunit ribosomal RNA", at positions 524 to 776 of the family's 1533-position model. The record is from RNAcentral.
GACAGAGGGGGCAAGCGUUGCUCGGAAUUACUGGGCGUAAAGGGCGCGUAGGCGGGAUGGCAAGUCGGUCGUGAAAUCCCUCGGCUCAACUGAGGAUCGUCGAUCGAUACUGCCGUUCUUGAGGAUUGCAGAGGAGACUGGAAUUCCCGGUGUAGCGGUGAAAUGUGUAGAGAUCGGGAGGAACACCGGUGGCGAAGGCGGGUCUCUGGGCAAUUCCUGACGCUGAGGCGCGAAAGCAUGGGGAGCAAACGGG